Molecule: long non-coding RNA, 677 nt
Filed under: Panax ginseng (ginseng)
Lineage: Eukaryota; Viridiplantae; Streptophyta; Magnoliopsida; Apiales; Araliaceae
Description: long non-coding RNA (PGIN_LNC016814)
Source: RNAcentral
CCACACAUAAGAUUACUUAUCUUUGUUUAGCUUUCUACUUCUGGUCGGUCCCUUCAUAAAUCUAUAUUUAUGAUAACCAAAGCUGGUAUCCAAUAUCUAAGUAGAACCUUGACUUAAAGAAAAAUUUAUUUCAUUCAUGAACAAAACUGUAUUUGUAACCGAAGCUUCACUAAGCUUCUUCUGGUUAGCUCUGCAAGAUGCUUCUCACAGUUUGUUUUCCAGUGUCCAGGCUUAUUGCAGUGGAAGCAAACUCCUUUGUUAUCCGUAACAGUUUUGUUCUUAUUAUCCUUUAUUUUUGUCUUUCUAUUUACCUUCUCUGAAUCGUUCUUCUUUUCAGAAGAUCCUUUGGCCCCUGCCAGUAAGACAUGGUCAUUGGAAAGUGACUCUCAACAUUUUUCAACAUGUUAAGCAAAUUAGCUAGGCUGAUAUCUAGCUUGUUCAUAUAAAAAAUUCACAACAACUGUGAAAGGAGUCCGGGAGUAAGUGCAAGAUCAAAUCUUGGCUCAACUCUCCAUCCAUGACAAAAACUGUUGUCCUAAUUGAUCAAUCAAAUUGAUAAUGUUAAGGACUUUUAUCUGUACUGUAGUGUCAUCGAUUAUUCUAGAUCGGAAGAGCUCCUUAGAUAUCUGAUAUCUAUCAACCCUACUUUUCUCACCAUCAACUACUUGAUGUGCAAG